AGUGAACGCUGGCGGUAGGCCUAACACAUGCAAGUCGAACGGCAGCACAGUAAGAGCUUGCUCUUACGGGUGGCGAGUGGCGGACGGGUGAGGAAUACAUCGGAAUCUACUUUUGCGUGGGGGAUAACGUAGGGAAACUUACGCUAAUACCGCAUACGACCUACGGGUGAAAGCAGUGGAGCUUCGGACCUUGCGCGAUUGAAUGAGCCGAUGUCGGAUUAGCUAGUUGGCGGGGUAAAGGCCCACCAAGGCGACGAUCCGUAGCUGGUCUGAGAGGAUGAUCAGCCACACUGGAACUGAGACACGGUCCAGACUCCUACGGGAGGCAGCAGUGGGGAAUAUUGGACAAUGGGCGCAAGCCUGAUCCAGCCAUACCGCGUGGGUGAAGAAGGCCUUCGGGUUGUAAAGCCCUUUUGUUGGGAAAGAAAAGCAGCAGGUUAAUACCCCGCUGUUCUGACGGUACCCAAAGAAUAAGCACCGGCUAACUUCGUG
RNAcentral lists this ribosomal RNA (492 nucleotides) under uncultured bacterium. RNAcentral describes it as "partial 16S ribosomal RNA". It matches the Rfam family "Bacterial small subunit ribosomal RNA", at positions 29 to 507 of the family's 1533-position model. The record is from RNAcentral.